RNAcentral lists this ribosomal RNA (230 nucleotides) under uncultured bacterium. RNAcentral's name for it is "partial 16S ribosomal RNA". It matches the Rfam family "Bacterial small subunit ribosomal RNA", at positions 568 to 796 of the family's 1533-position model. The record is from RNAcentral.
CGCGUAGGCGGUCGGGUAAGUCGGGUGUGAAAUUCCGGGGCUCAACCCCGAGAACUGCAUCCGAUACUGCGCGACUUGAGAGAGGUAGGGGCGAGUGGAAUUCCCGGUGUAGCGGUGGAAUGCGUAGAUAUCGGGAAGAACACCGGUGGCGAAGGCGGCUCGCUGGACCUUUUCUGACGCUGAAGCGCGAAAGCGUGGGGAGCAAACAGGAUUAGAUACCCUGGUAGUCC